ACAUUAAUUUAGUAAUGUUGGUAAGACUGUUACGUAAAAUAAUCUCGCGUGUGGUUAAAGUGUAGUUAGACAAGUUUAUUAUUAUCGUUCAAUAAAAAGGUUUAAAAUUAAAAACAAUCAUGAGAUUAACUAAUUAUUUAUUUAAAAGAGUUGCAGAAUGGACGAAGAAAUAUUCUAAUUUACCUGACUCCUACAUAGACCGUACCAUGCGACAAGUUUAUUGGAGAACUCCUAGAAAAGUUCAAUAUCUUAACCGUACUCAUGAGCGUAAACGUUAUUGGUUUUCCAUUCAUAAACCUUGGACGACUCAUUUUAAGGUAGAAAAUUCUAAAAUGGGAUUGCCCCCAGCUAUUCCCGUUGAGCCUAUCAAAGAUUGGAGUUUUUUCCGUGGCGACAGAGUUGAAAUAUUAGUAGGAAGAGAUAAAGGUAAACAAGGUAUAGUCAAAGAAAUAAUACAGGAAAGAAAUUGGGUCAUUGUCGAAGGUCUUAAUACUAAAUUGGAGUGUAUAGGAAAAACUAAAACGUUUCCUGGAAUAUUCAUGGCAACUGAAAAACCGUUAUUAGUUACUACCGAUAUCGCUUUGGUCGAUCCUCAUGAUUUAAAUGGAACCAAGAUAGAAUGGAGAUAUACAGAAAUGGGUGAGAAAGUACGCGUAUCCAUUAGAACCGGUAGAAUUAUUCCGAUUCCUGAAUCCGCACUAGAAACUAUAGAUUAUAAGAGUCCUCGGCUUUACAAAGAUCAAAGUAAAGAUACGUCUAAGGAUGAUGUAGAAGCAGUAACAUUCAAACCAGCAUUAAAAACUUUCGAAAUGGAUAUUAUGGAAAAAAUGGGUAUUCAGGAAGAUCGUAUACCUAAGAAAGUAUAUUGGUAUUAGAGUAUAUUAUAUUAAUAUGGCCUCACCAUUGGCGAUCUGCGAACCAUCGGAUUGGCUGUUGUGACCGAUCGAAUUGGAGAAAUUUCUGUUUGCAGAUUUGUCGUCUAAAUUCGUUUCAAAAUAAUUCUUUUCGGUUCUCGAACCGAGAACGUUGUUGCUGUCGUUGUUUAAUACUUUGAAGUUAUCCUUAACGUUGAAAGAUUUUUUAUUAUCGUUUUCGUACAAACGAAAACUAUUAUUUUCGGUAAUAUUAUUAUUAUUAUUAUUAUUAAUAAUCGUCGUAGUAGUCGACAUAGUGGAAGUAGUUGUAGCGGUUAUAGCAGUCGUCGAGUUAGUUGGAAAUCUGUAUUCGUGUUGAGUCGCGUUAUCGUUAGCAAAUUCUUGAUAUGCUGCUGGAAACUCGUCCCCAUCUGGGGGCAGCCGUUGACCGCCUCCACAAUUGUCCAUUCUAUCAUUUACCGAAUCUGAAAAAGAGAGACUAAAUUCAAAUAUAUGCGUGCAUAUAUUGUAUCAUACGCGUGUUAGCAGCGUAGGAUGUUAUUUAUAUACACGUAUUCCCAGAUAUGGGAAUUGUGUGUGUAUCCUGUGUUCAAAUUUAUAGAUCGUUCGAGUCGUAUAUUUGCUGGGCUACAAGAUUUUAAGCCAUCUUACCAAAAUAAAAAAAAAUAAAAAUAAUCUUUUUAUAAUUAAUUUACAGUUGCAGUCUUGAAAAACAUUCGAAUGCUUUCCGAUAUUAUUUAUACGUUUGUUAUUUUAUUUGUUUUUAACGUUUCAUAUCAUAUUUGAGUUAAUUUUAUUUUUCAAACAAAUCAUAUUCCGAUCAUUCGAUCGGAUUUAGGGUUGAGCUCGUGUGAUUUAUAUUCUCGAUAAAUCAAAUGACGGAAGAAAAUAAUCAGAGGCAGAAGAAGAAUAAGAAGAAUAAGAAGAAGAAGAAGAAGAAAAAAAGGUAAUCGGUUAGGAUGUGAAAUAAAGUUAAAGUUCGAAUUCCGUUAUGAAAGGAUCAUUCGAUUCGAUCGAACGAUUUUAAGGGGAACAUUCAGGACUCCUCCGAUGUUCUUGAAUUUCCUGGUUCUCGGAGCUUCCAAAGGAUAAGAAUUUUGUAUCGUUUUUUUUUUUUGUCCUUUCCUUGUUGCAUAUAUGUGUGCAUGUGUGUACGUGUGUGUGUGUGUGUGCAUGAGAGAAGAGAGAAGUGUGACAAAGAGAACCCCAUGGUGCACAGGGGCUAUUAGCAACUAACGGUGCAUUAUCAUCUUCGCAUUCCUGGGAAUCCUUCCUACGAUUCGCUUUUAACUGCGAAUCGGGUUCUUCGUGAGCAAGCAAGUAUAUAAGCAAGCAAGUAAAGGAAGAAAGGAAGGAAGGAAGGAAGGAAGGAUGGAUGGAUGGAAGGAGUAAAACGGCCCUUCUCCUUUAACCAAAGAUGGCUGCAAACUCGAAGGACACGCUUGGAGACGUAGCGUAAUCGCGAAUGGGAGAGAUGUCCCAUUCUCCAAAAAGAAACGAAUGAGAGAACAAAAAAGAAAAUAAAAUAAAAGAAAAGAAACGCUUAAAAAGAAUAUAAAUGAGAGUUAUAAAGAGGUAGAUGAGAAAAAGUCAUUUUACGUCAUUUUGGGAUCCCUCGUGAAAUAAAUUGAACUUAGAGAUUAUUUCAAAAUUAUUUAAAAUUAAUAGUCUAAUUAAUAUUCUCGUUAUUUAUUUAUUUAUAUUCAUUUUUAUUUGAAAAUUCGAACGUUUGAAGGCUCGCGUAGAAAGAAGAAUGCAAUGAACUAGCCGUUAACUUGGUAAAAAUAAAUGUCAAGUUGAAACUUGACAAAGUGCAUACCCAAGUAAACGUUUCUUAUGGGAUUCCUAUCAACUAAAAUCGCGAACCAGUUAAUCUCCGCAUUCCUAUACGUCGGGAUAAAAGUUUAACUUCGCGGACUUAUGGCUUUUUCUUAUCGCCGUUCGGUUCCUUGGAAAAGCAAUGCUCGAUCCGAAUGAACAGCUUCUUGGUUAAUGAUCAAUAUGUAUGCGUACGAGAGUGCAAGAAACGUGUGUUAAUACCAAUAAGAAACUAACAUAUAUAUAUAUAUAUUUAUACAAGGUGUUUCAAAAUGAGCAUAUAUUCAAGGGCUGAUUUUAGUAGUUUAAAAAUAGAAAAAAAAAGAAUAAGAAUCGUUUAUACAAUCAUACACCUUUGAUAUAUGACCCUGAAUUACAUCUGUGUUUUGUCUUCCAAUAUAAUUCAUAUUACUUUACCAACUGUGUUUCCUUUCAAUUAUUUACGAUAAUUAAGCUUCUUAUCUCACGUUCUCGACUAAUUCAAACAACACCUGGUAUUUUUGUACGAACGAGAAAAAUCUACGAUAAGAAGAGACACAUUCUUGGUAGUUUAAAUUAAAAAUCUAUAAUGUGAGAGCCAGUUGGGAGUAGUUUCUAUGAAAAUAAUGUUGCAACGUGUGUAAUAUAAACAAUGAUUAUAAUUUGGGAACAAAGUUAUAUCGUGGGGGCCCCAUGAAUUUAUUUUUUCUUAUUUUAGAGUCUACCAAAACUACCCCUUGAAAUUUUGUCUAGAUAUUUUGAAACACUCUGUAUAAAUAUAUAUAUAUGUAUUUUAUAAUGUAUGUGCAUUCGUGUGCAUUCGUGUUAACGGCCGAUCGGACCAUAUUUGUACCGAUAUCAGGGACAACGUGCGUCACCAUAUGUACAUAUUAGAGGUGGCAUCUCAGAAGUCGUUGAAGAAAACUGUUGCCGGUGUGUCCAAGUCGACUGUCGUUGUUAAGGAUACCUCGCAGAGGGACCAAACAAGAAGAAUAAGAA
RNAcentral lists this unclassified non-coding RNA (3671 nucleotides) under Polistes fuscatus (common paper wasp). RNAcentral's name for it is "probable 39S ribosomal protein L24, mitochondrial, transcript variant X3". Lineage: Eukaryota; Metazoa; Arthropoda; Insecta; Hymenoptera; Vespidae. The record is from RNAcentral.